This 916-nucleotide ribosomal RNA is filed under the name Cordyceps cicadae. RNAcentral describes it as "partial large subunit ribosomal RNA". RNAcentral also lists the same sequence under 1 other name. Lineage: Eukaryota; Fungi; Ascomycota; Sordariomycetes; Hypocreales; Cordycipitaceae. The record is from RNAcentral.
ACUAGCAUAUCAAUAAGCGGRGGAAMAGAAAYCAACAGGGAUUGCCCCAGUAACGGCGAGUGAAGCGGCAACAGCUCAAAUUUGAAAUCUGGCCCUCGGGUCCGAGUUGUAAUUUGCAGAGGAUGCUUCGGGCGAGGUGCCUUCCGAGUUCCCUGGAACGGGACGCCAUAGAGGGUGAGAGCCCCGUCUGGUCGGACACCGAGCCCGUGUGAAGCUCCUUCGAAGAGUCGAGUAGUUUGGGAAUGCUGCUCAAAAUGGGAGGUAUAUGUCUUCUAAAGCUAAAUAUUGGCCAGAGACCGAUAGCGCACAAGUAGAGUGAUCGAAAGAUGAAAAGCACUUUGAAAAGAGGGUUAAAAAGUACGUGAAAUUGUUGAAAGGGAAGCGCCCAUGACCAGACUUGGGCCCGGUGAAUCAUCCGGCGUUCUCGCCGGUGCACUUUGCCGGGCACAGGCCAGCAUCAGUCUGGCGCGGGGGAUAAAGGCUUCGGGAAUGUGGCUCCCUCGGGAGUGUUAUAGCCCGUUGCGCAAUACCCUGCGCCGGACUGAGGUACGCGCAUCGCAAGGAUGCUGGCGUAAUGGUCAUCAGCGACCCGUCUUGAAACACGGACCAAGGAGUCGUCUUCGUAUGCGAGUGUUCGGGUGUCAAACCCCUACGCGGAAUGAAAGUGAACGCAGGUGAGAGCUUCGGCGCAUCAUCGACCGAUCCUGAUGUUCUCGGAUGGAUUUGAGUAAGAGCAUACGGGGCCGGACCCGAAAGAAGGUGAACUAUGCCUGUAUAGGGUGAAGCCAGAGGAAACUCUGGUGGAAGCUCGCAGCGGUUCUGACGUGCGAAUCGAUCGUCAAAUAUGGGCAUGGGGGCGAAAGACUAAUCGAACCUKCUAGURGSUGGUUUCCGCCGAAUUCCCCCUUCCAGGGAA